UAUUAUAAUUGAUGUUAAAUUAUUACUUGAGUAGUAAUAGAUGUUCUUGAAACUCAAAGGAUUUGGCGGUAUUUUAGUCUUUUCAGGGGAAUUUGUUUUUUAAUUGAUAAUACACAAUUUGUUUUACUUAAUUAAGUUACCAGCUUGUAUACCGCCGUCAUAAGAUUAUUUUUAUUUUUGAAAGUUAAAUUUUCUUGUAUUUAUAUUAAAAUAUAUGUCAGGUCAAGGUUCAGUUUAUAAUUAAGGUAUGGAUGAAUUACAAUAAUUUUAAAUUAUUACGGAUAAUUGAUGUAUGUUAAAUUUGAAGGUGGACUUGAUUGUAAAUUUAUUUUUGAUUUUUUUGGUGAUUGGGGCUCUAAAAUGUGUACAUAUUGCCCGUCACUCUCGUAUUUAUAUAUGAG
RNAcentral lists this ribosomal RNA (401 nucleotides) under Cardiodactylus singapura. Its description in RNAcentral is "partial small subunit ribosomal RNA". The record is from RNAcentral. Lineage: Eukaryota; Metazoa; Arthropoda; Insecta; Orthoptera; Gryllidae.